Molecule: ribosomal RNA, 404 nt
Filed under: uncultured bacterium
Lineage: Bacteria
Description: bacterial SSU rRNA
Rfam family: Bacterial small subunit ribosomal RNA
Source: RNAcentral
CAAGGAAUUUUGCGCAAUGGGCGAAAGCCUGACGCAGCAACGCCGCGUGAGGGAUGAAGGCCUUCGGGUUGUAAACCUCUUUUAUCAGAGACGAAUAAUGACGGUACCUGAGGAAUAAGCUUCGGCUAACUACGUGCCAGCAGCCGCGGUAAUACGUAGGAAGCAAGCGUUAUCCGGAUUUACUGGGCGUAAAGUGGACGUAGGCGGCCUUUCAAGUCGGAUGUGAAAUCUCUUGGCUUAACCAGGAGGGGUCAUCCGAUACUGUUGGGCUUGAGGGCAGCAGGGGAAGGUGGAAUUCCCGGUGUAGUGGUGAAAUGCGUAGAUAUCGGGAGGAACACCAGUGGCGAAGGCGGCCUUCCAGGCUGUUUCUGACGCUGAGGUCCGAAAGUGUGGGGAGCGAACAG